RNA transcript from Hylaeus anthracinus, 958 nucleotides. It is a transcript of the gene named FAD-linked sulfhydryl oxidase ALR, with no coding region annotated. The record is from RefSeq and is a predicted model, not a curated record. The transcript has 4 exons. NCBI's taxonomy places the organism in Eukaryota, Metazoa, Arthropoda, Insecta, Hymenoptera, Colletidae.
UUAUUUCGUAAAGCAAACAUUUCAUUGCAUACAGUUUCUUAUCUGAAUCGGAAACUGAAAUUAUCUGGUCUGAAAUCAGAUACAAGUUGUUGUUGCAAGUUGCAAGUGUGUAUGUAAUUUGUAACAGUCGGAACGUAUUCAGAUACUGGAAGUAUAAUUUCCUAAAACAUUUCGUCACCCACACGUGAGAGAAUUAUUAAUCGCAACAAUUUUUAAACGAUUACACGGAUGUAUACGGUGAUUACAACGCGAUGUCUCAAGAAAAACCCUGUCGUGCAUGUACAGAUUUUAAAACGUGGGCAAAAAUUCAAAAAAAGACAUUUGAAUCCGAAAAGGAAUCUGGGAAGAAGCAGGAGAAAAUUUCAUCUAUAAGUAAUAGACGUGACGAUUGUCCUUUGGAUAAGGAUGAAUUAGGUUCGAGAACGUGGUCGUUGUUGCAUACAAUGGCUGCGUAUUAUCCUGAUCAUCCAAACGAAGAACAAAAAUCAGACAUGAGAAACUUUUUUUAUACGUUUUCUAAAUUUUAUCCCUGUUAUGUAUGCGCAGAAGAUUUACGAGAACAAUUGAAACAGUCUCCGCCGCAGACAGACUCGCAAAAACAAUUAAGUUAUUGGCUUUGUGAUAUACAUAACGAGAUAAACGAGAAACUCGGAAAGCCAAGAUUCGAUUGUAAUCUUGUCGACCAAAGAUGGAAAGAUGGAUGGCUCGACGGUUCGUGCGACUAAUAACGAUUACCUUUCAUAUACGCGAUAAAAAAUAUUAUGAGAGCCGAACGUUGUACAUACUUAUUCGACUAGAAGAGAAAUAUUAUGUCUAAUCUGAUCACUGUUAGGAUCGUGAAGUAGGCGGUGGUAGAUGCGAAAUGGUAAAUGCAGAACAUGCCGUUCUAAUUUGUGGUUCGUAACUGUGGUCCUGUCCCUCGCCACCAAUGGGCAUUACCUGACACGUUCUAAUGUGA